ACCUAUGGCCACACCACCCUGAAGGUGCCCAAUCUCGUCUAAUCUUGGAAGUGAUCCAGGGCCGGGCCUGGAUAGUAUAUGGAUGGGAAUACCAGGUGUCGUGGGCU
Molecule: ribosomal RNA, 107 nt
Filed under: Xenopus laevis (African clawed frog)
Lineage: Eukaryota; Metazoa; Chordata; Amphibia; Anura; Pipidae
Source: RNAcentral